UUAUUUUUAGAUUUAAUAUAUAUAAAACAUACAUAAUAUAUAUAUGAUACUUUUAAGUUCGUUUAAAUACUUGAAAAUAUAUACAAAUAAUCAAACGUAAAUAUCUAGAAUAGUUAAAAUAUACUCAAAACUCCAAAAAUACUUAAAUAAUUAUUAAUUCUCUAUCCAAAUAUUUAAACCAACCAAUUUAAAUUGGUUAUCCAAAUCCGAACCGAAUCC
Molecule: long non-coding RNA, 219 nt
Filed under: Brassica napus (rape)
Lineage: Eukaryota; Viridiplantae; Streptophyta; Magnoliopsida; Brassicales; Brassicaceae
Description: long non-coding RNA (BNAP_LNC007061)
Source: RNAcentral